GAUGAACGCUGGCGGCGUGCUUAACACAUGCAAGUCGAACGGAAAGGCCCAAGCUUGCUUGGGUACUCGAGUGGCGAACGGGUGAGUAACACGUGGGUGAUCUGCCCUGCACUUCGGGAUAAGCCUGGGAAACUGGGUCUAAUACCGGAUAGGACCACAUUUUGGAUGGUGUGGUGGAAAGUUUUUCGGUGUGGGAUGAGCUCGCGGCCUAUCAGCUUGUUGGUGGGGUAAUGGCCUACCAAGGCGUCGACGGGUAGCCGGCCUGAGAGGGUGUACGGCCACAUUGGGACUGAGGUACGGCCCAGACUCCUACGGGAGGCAGCAGUGGGGAAUAUUGCACAAUGGGCGCAAGCCUGAUGCAGCGACGCCGCGUGGGGGAUGACGGCCUUCGGGUUGUAAACUCCUUUCGCUAGGGACGAAGCGUUAUGUGACGGUACCUGGAGAAGAAGCACCGGCUAACUACGUG
Molecule: ribosomal RNA, 466 nt
Filed under: uncultured bacterium
Lineage: Bacteria
Description: partial 16S ribosomal RNA
Rfam family: Bacterial small subunit ribosomal RNA
Source: RNAcentral